This 268-nucleotide ribosomal RNA is filed under the name uncultured bacterium. RNAcentral describes it as "partial 16S ribosomal RNA". It matches the Rfam family "Bacterial small subunit ribosomal RNA", at positions 793 to 1055 of the family's 1533-position model. The record is from RNAcentral.
GUCCACGCCCUAAACGAUGUCAACUGGUUGUUGGGGUAUUUACUUACUCAGUAACGAAGCUAACGCGUGAAGUUGACCGCCUGGGGAGUACGGCCGGCAAGGUUGAAACUCAAAGGAAUUGACGGGGACCCGCACAAGGCGGUGGAUGAUGUGGUUUAAUUCGAUGCAACGCGAAAAACCUUACCCACCUUUGACAUGUACGGAAGUUGCCAGAGAUGGCUUCGUGCUCGAAAAGAGAGCCGUAACACAGGUGCUGCAUGGCUGUCGU